Canis lupus familiaris (dog) is the source of this 1677-nucleotide long non-coding RNA. RefSeq lists it as uncharacterized. Lineage: Eukaryota; Metazoa; Chordata; Mammalia; Carnivora; Canidae. The record is from RefSeq and is a predicted model, not a curated record. The transcript has 2 exons.
ACGCGGGAGCCCGCUGAGGCGGCGGGCGGCGGGAGGACGCUCGCGGGCCGCGGGGCUUCCGGCAGGAGCCGCGAAGGCGGAGGGGGCGGGCGCGUCCUUCCUGCCCUCACCUUUGCCGUUACUGUGCGACGUGAGCAUCUUCUGAGAGGCCCUCACGAGACCUUGCAGGGCACGGAAACGUCAGUCGGCCUUCCGUGGGGGGCAGUUUUUUGCAACAUGAGGACACACCACCCUUGAAGAACUGCUAAGCGGAGAGCACAAGUACAGGCGCGCUCUCUGGUGCUGACGUGAGAGGAGGUGAACUUCGGCUUGAUUUGAUGCGACUCGAUUGUUUUCGCAAAUAACAAAGCACCCCGCCGGUUUUGUGACUACGUGGUGUAUUUUUGGGUGGAGUCAAAGCUCACUAAGAAAGCAGAAACUAGGUCUUGAAAAUACUUUCGGGAGAUGGAAAAAAAAAUGAGUCUUUAAUCCCUCUGAUACGAGUGUGAGAAAGAGGGAAAAAGGUUCACAAGUGAGUAAAAGGUAGCUCCUGGAACGAGAGCCAGCAUUUACUCACUCGGGCAAAUUAUUAAGCGCCUCUCCAUGCCUCAGUUUCCUCAUCUGUAAAAUGGGGAUGAUAGUAGCAUCUACCCCAUGGAGUUGCCAUAAAUAUUGAAUGAGUUGAUAUAUCUAGAACCCGAGACUAGGUAUUAGUGGCUUGUUUCAAACGUCAAGGCGAUCCAUACACAAGCAGAGGAUGGCACUUUGGGAACCUGGGCUGAUUGAGUAGAUAGCACUUACCUUGAUUUUUCCCCACAGUUCAUGGUUUGGCCCUAGGGGAACCUCACCUCAAAAGCUAAAGUUUAUGGAAGGCCUGCUCUGUGGCAACGCCUAUGCAUUAUCUCAUUGUCUUCUUACAACUACUUUCAGAAGUAGGUGCUAUUAUUUUUCCUGUUUUACAGAUAAGGGAAACUGAGGCAUAAAGGAUUGCAUAGCUUGCUCAAAGCUAUGGAGAUAGUGCAAGGUACAGCCAGGAAUUGAACCCUGGUCAUUUGCUGCGAGAGGCCAUGGAGAGAGGAUUCUGUCCUUUGAGGCAGGCCUCCUUUAAAUAAGUACACAGGGCCAGCACUCCAGAAUGUCAAUAUUGUCAGUAUUAAUUCACAAGAAGAAUGGUAAUUCAGUGGUAAAGUUAACCUGAGAUCAACUCUGGCUGACGAGCCACUUUCCUGACCUGUGUAUGUAUGCACUCUCUCUGAAGUCAGAUGUUCAGAGUUGUUUGCUAAUCAUGGAAAUAGAACAAGGAGGUACCUAAUCUCAAAAAGUGGUUCUCAGCUAAAGGGCACCUGGAAGCAUCCUCACCUACGUUAACAAAAAUAAUAGCUGUCAUUUAAUGAGCUCUUACUGUAAGGCUAGUCUGAACAAGUGUGCUCAGAUCAGACUCCCUCUUUUGGACAAGCUUAGGUAUUGCCAGUCCUCUUUUACUGUUUGGGAUGACCAUCCUCUUCCUUUUUUUUUUAUCUGCAUGUCUAUUUUCCAUUAGAAAAAUACUAUCUAUUAAAAUUGUGGUACACUUUAUUCUCCUUUACCUCUACCAUUCAAGUUUCAGGUACUUUAAUUUUAUUCAAGUAAAAGCAGAAUUAUAUAGCUGAGGUGAGGACUAAUUAUUUCAUAUCAUUAAAUUAAUAGGAUUUAACUGAA